AGAGUUUGAUCCUGGCUCAGGACUAACGCUGGCGGCGUGCCCAACACAUGCAAGUCUGAGGAGAAUGGGAUUCUUCGGAUUCCCUAGUAAACUGGCGAAAGGGUGAGUAACACGUAGGUAACCUACCCCGCAGCGGGGAAUAACACCGGGAAACUGGUGCUAAUACCACAUGACGUCCCGGGUUCACAUGGACUCGGGAUCAAAGAGAGCUUCGGCAACGGAGCAUCGCUGCAGGAUGGACCUGCGUCCUAUUAGUUUGUUGGCGGGGUAACGGCCCACCAAGACGACGAUGGGUAGCUGGUCUGAGAGGAUGAUCAGCCACACUGGCACUGAGACACGGGCCAGACUCCUACGGGAGGCAGCAGUGAGGAAUAUUGGGCAAUGGGCGAAAGCCUGACCCAGCAACGCCGCGUGAGUGAUGAAGUUCCGAGGAACGUAAAGCUCUGUUAGGAGGGAAGAAUGUCCGAUUUAUCGGAAGUGACUGUACCUCCAAAGAAAGCUCCGGCUAACUCCGUGCCAGCAGCCGCGGUAAUACGGGGGGAGCAAGCGUUGUCCGGAUUUAUUGGGCGUAAAGAGCGUGUAGGCGGGCCGAAAAGUCGAUGGUGAAAUCUCUCGGCUUAACUGAGAAUCUGCCGUCGAUACUGUCGGUCUUGAGUAUGGAAGAGGGAAGCGGAAUUCCUGGUGUAGCGGUGAAAUGCGUAGAUAUCAGGAAGAACACCAGUAGCGUAAGCGGCUUCCUGGUCCGUUACUGACGCUAAAACGCGAAAGCGUGGGGAGCAAACAGGAUUAGAUACCCUGGUAGUC
This 804-nucleotide ribosomal RNA is filed under the name uncultured bacterium. Its description in RNAcentral is "bacterial SSU rRNA". It matches the Rfam family "Bacterial small subunit ribosomal RNA", at positions 8 to 795 of the family's 1533-position model. The record is from RNAcentral.